GAAUACAGCGCAAAACAAGAAGGACUCAGCGCGCAAUUACCCCUCCUCAUGCCAGAAUGCGCGGAUCUAGCCACAAUCUGGGUCGAGUCAUCAGGUAAGGCCUCUAAACGGCGUCGUUUGGGCGCUAGGAACCUUAGCUCAAAACGGCGCCGUAUAAUAUAAUUAUUUAAACAACAUUUUUCUAAAAAAAAAAACAUUAGCAACCUAAAUUUAAAAAAAAAAAAUAGCUUCUUGUCUUCUCCGCUAGGGUUUCACCCUAUCGUUCUCACACAGCCCCUUCCGUCUUGAUUCCACCGUGAAUGGUGGUCGGAGCCUCACCACACAAGGCUUUUUGUCUUCUUUUUGCGCAGAUUCAAAGGCAUAACCAAGUAUGUUUUAACCCCC
Molecule: long non-coding RNA, 384 nt
Filed under: Gossypium raimondii (Peruvian cotton)
Lineage: Eukaryota; Viridiplantae; Streptophyta; Magnoliopsida; Malvales; Malvaceae
Description: long non-coding RNA (GRAI_LNC002795)
Source: RNAcentral